GAUGAACGCUGGCGGCGUGCUUAACACAUGCAAGUCGAACGGGAAACAUUUCAUUGAGGCUUCGGCGGAUUUGAUCUGUUUCUAGUGGCGGACGGGUGAGUAACGCGUGGGUAACCUGCCUUAUACUGGGGGAUAACAGCCAGAAAUGACUGCUAAUACCGCAUAAGCGCACAGAACCGCAUGGUUCGGUGUGAAAAACUCCGGUGGUAUAAGAUGGACCCGCGUUGGAUUAGCUAGUUGGCAGGGCAGCGGCCUACCAAGGCGACGAUCCAUAGCCGGCCUGAGAGGGUGAACGGCCACAUUGGGACUGAGACACGGCCCAGACUCCUACGGGAGGCAGCAGUGGGGAAUAUUGCACAAUGGGGGAAACCCUGAUGCAGCGACGCCGCGUGAAGGAAGAAGUAUCUCGGUAUGUAAACUUCUAUCAGCAGGGAAGAUAAUGACGGUACCUGACUAAGAAGCCCCGGCUAACUACGUGC
RNAcentral lists this ribosomal RNA (479 nucleotides) under uncultured bacterium. RNAcentral's name for it is "bacterial SSU rRNA". It matches the Rfam family "Bacterial small subunit ribosomal RNA", at positions 28 to 508 of the family's 1533-position model. The record is from RNAcentral.